Molecule: ribosomal RNA, 777 nt
Filed under: uncultured Neocallimastigales
Lineage: Eukaryota; Fungi; Neocallimastigomycota; Neocallimastigomycetes; Neocallimastigales
Description: partial large subunit ribosomal RNA
Rfam family: Eukaryotic large subunit ribosomal RNA
Source: RNAcentral
AGAGAGAGACAUGCGCGCAUAUCAAUAAGCGGAGGAAAAGAAACUAACUAGGAUUCCCUCAGUAACGGCGAGUGAAGCGGGAAGAGCUCAAAUAUUGAAAUCUUCAAGGUUUUACCUUGACGAAUUGUAGUUUAAAGAAGUGUUUUCUGUUGGAAUUUUGGUAAAAGUUCUUUGGAAAAAGACAUCAAGGAGGGUGAGAAUCCCGUAUUUGACCAUUAUUUCCAGCUUUGUGAUACACUUUCAAAGAGUCGGAUUGUUUGGGAAUGCAGUCCAAAAUGGGUGGUAAAUUUCAUCUAAAGCUAAAUACUGGCGAGAGACCGAUAGCGAACAAGUACCGUGAGGGAAAGAUGAAAAGAACUUUGAAAAGAGAGUUAAACAGUACGUGAAAUUGUCAAAAGGGAAGCGUUUGACACCAGUGUUGUUUUCUCGAAAAUCAAUUAAAAAAGAUCUGGAUUUUGUGUUGUAUUGACUUUAUCAGCUUUCUGCACUCUUUUCUUGUCUUUUUUAAUGCACUUUUCGUUUAACAAGUCAACAUCAAUUUCUUUUGUUGUAAAAGGGUCAUUGGAAGGUGGCUUUCCUUUCGGAGAAAGUGUUUAUAGCCUUUGGCCUUCUGCAAUCGGAGAGAUUGAGGUCUGCAGCGUAGAUCCUUCGGGGUUAGAUACAUUUGUGCUAAGUUAUAGCCUUUCAUAGACAACUUGUUGACUAUGAUCAGUCAUGUAGCUUACUCGCUUAUGCUAUUUUACCUACGCUUAGGAUGUUGACAGCAGUAUAGACUGU